This 440-nucleotide ribosomal RNA is filed under the name uncultured bacterium. Its description in RNAcentral is "partial 16S ribosomal RNA". It matches the Rfam family "Bacterial small subunit ribosomal RNA", at positions 338 to 795 of the family's 1533-position model. The record is from RNAcentral.
CCUACGGGUGACAGCAGUGGGGGAUAUUGCACAAUGGGGGAAACCCUGAUGCAGCAACGCCGCGUGAGUGAAGAAGGUCUUCGGAUUGUAAAGCUCUGUUCUUGGUGAAGAUAAGGACGGUAGCCAAUGAGAAGUCUCCGGCUAACUACGUGCCAGCAACCGCGGUAAUACUUAGUGAGCGAGCGUUGUCCGGAUUUACUGGGGGUAAAGGUUGCGCAGGCGGCUCUGCAAGUCAGGCGUGAAAGCUAGGGGCUCAACCCCUAAAUUGCGGUUGAAACUGUGGAGCUUGAGUGAAGUAGAGGCAGGCGGAAUUCCAGGUGUAGCGGUGAAAUGCGUAGAGAUCGGGAGGAACAUCAGUGGCGAAGGCGACCUGCUGGGAUUUAACUGACGCUCAGGCACGAAAGCAUGGGUAGCAAACAGGAUUAGAUACCCUUGUAGUC